RNAcentral lists this long non-coding RNA (761 nucleotides) under Monodelphis domestica (gray short-tailed opossum). RNAcentral describes it as "lncRNA (ENSMODG00000041440.1)". The record is from RNAcentral. Lineage: Eukaryota; Metazoa; Chordata; Mammalia; Didelphimorphia; Didelphidae.
UUCACAAAACAGAGGAUUUAUAAAAUCAUUCAAGGAGAGACAAUUUAAAAAUCAUUGGUCUAUCAGAAGACCAUGACAAAAGAAAAAGUCUGGACAUCAUACUGCAGGAAAUUAUUAAAGAAACUGCCCCGAUCUCCUAGAACAAGAGGGAAAAGUGGAAAUUGAAAGAAUCCACAGAUCACCUCGUGUACUUAAUUUCCAACUAAGAACACCCAGGAAUUUUAUAGCCAAAUUCAAGAACUAUCAGACCAAAGAAAAGAUAUUACAAGCUGCUAAGAAGAAGUCAUUCAUAUACCAUGGAACCACAGUGAGGAUAACUCAGGACCUGGCUGCAUCCACACUGAAGGACCGAAAGGCAUGGAAUAUGAUAUUCCAGAAAGGAAGGGAACUAUGUCUACAACCAAGAAUCAACUACCCAGCAAAACUGACUAUAUUCUUACAGCAGAGAGUAUGGUCAUUUAACACAAUAGAAGAAUUCCAAGAAUUUGUAAAGAAAACACCAGACCUGAACAGAAAAUUUGAUGUCCAAGCACAGAACUCAAGAGAAUCAUCAAAAGAUCAAAGUUUGAGCCUCAAAGAGGAUAAGUGCCUUGGGCAUGAUCACAGCACAUAAAGCAGGAUUCAAACCCAGACCUCUCUUACUGAAAUGGGUUUUGAUCGUGAUGACUCCAUUACCAUCUCCAUUUCUACCUUUGGAUAAAUUAUUCCUUUUAUGAUACAUCCUAAAAUUCUGAUAACAAUAAAAGUCAAACUUAUUGGCC